This 243-nucleotide unclassified non-coding RNA is filed under the name Hevea brasiliensis (rubber tree). Lineage: Eukaryota; Viridiplantae; Streptophyta; Magnoliopsida; Malpighiales; Euphorbiaceae. The record is from RNAcentral.
GCCAACAAUAAGACAUACUACAAUAUUCUCGGUAAAAAUUCAACUAAUUUUUUUAAAAAUUAAAAUAGUGAAGAAUACACUAAUAUUUGGAUUUCUAGUAGAGGAAUUAUUAGGUGCACCCGGUGUACAUACACCUUCUCUAACAAUCAUAUGGGACCCACUACCUAUAUAAUAGGAAAGACACACCUUCUGUGAGAGAAGGAGCACUAUUUUUUAGUGCUCCGGGUAUACCUAAUAAUUAGC